This 771-nucleotide long non-coding RNA is filed under the name Numida meleagris (helmeted guineafowl). Its description in RNAcentral is "lncRNA (ENSNMEG00000003973.1)". Lineage: Eukaryota; Metazoa; Chordata; Aves; Galliformes; Numididae. The record is from RNAcentral.
CGGGGCGGCGGAGGGAACGGCCCAGGCACUACUCCUCGGCCCCACUCCGCAACCCCGCUGCCCGGCCCCGCUCCGGCGCUGCCCUCCGCUGCCCUCUGCCGGCGGCCGGGCCGUGCCGGGCGCUGCUUCCUCCCGUUGCCGGAUCCCGGGGUGCGGCCGCGGGCCCGGUUCGUCCCCUCAGGGAGCUUCGGUGCGCCCUCAGCGCGGUGGGGGUCUCGUGGUGGAACGGAUCCGGCGAGUCCUGUAUUUACUUGGGGAGAGAAACGUCUUUGUAUUAUGACUAUUAUUUUAAAGUCUGAUGCUUCUUGAUCUCAACCUGUGAUGGGGUCCCUUCAGCCGUGGGGUUCAACGCCAUGCUCCUGGACAUGGGGCGAUGGGCACCAUGCAGCCGUGCCCCUCCAGCAGCAGGAGCUGCAGCGCGUGCCGCGCCGUGCUGGUGGUCCCGCGGGCCCUCCUCCCAUUGCAGUUGGCGUGAGGCUCUGUGCUUCUGCACAUCUACCUCUGGAGGCCCCCAGGGCACCUUCUGCAGCACCAGAAUUGGCCGAGAAGCAGAGGGGAGGGAAUGGAGUUGCAGAACACAGAGUGGUCCAUGGGAAGGUGCCCCCCGCUUCUCUUUGCAGGUUGGUUUUUUUUAAAAAAACGAUCUUGAAAAUGAAUCCGGGAAAAUUAGAAGGGGAAUUUACAUGGUAUUUGAGGGAUUUCCUUUGUCUUACAAAUACUUUAUCUUUUCUAUUAAAAAAACCAUUAGGAGGUCUGAGAGGAAGGAGAUAA